RNAcentral lists this ribosomal RNA (492 nucleotides) under uncultured bacterium. RNAcentral's name for it is "partial 16S ribosomal RNA". It matches the Rfam family "Bacterial small subunit ribosomal RNA", at positions 29 to 507 of the family's 1533-position model. The record is from RNAcentral.
AGUGAACGCUGGCGGUAGGCCUAACACAUGCAAGUCGAAUGGCAGCACAGUAAGAGCUUGCUCUUACGGGUGGCGAGUGGCGGACGGGUGAGGAAUACAUCGGAAUUUACUUUUUCGUGGGGGAUAACGUAGGGAAACUUACGCUAAUACCGCAUACGACCUACGGGUGAAAGCAGGGGAUCUUCGGACCUUGCGCGAUUGAAUGAGCCGAUGUCGGAUUAGCUAGUUGGCGGGGUAAAGGCCCACCAAGGCGACGAUCCGUAGCUGGUCUGAGAGGAUGAUCAGCCACACUGGAACUGAGGCACGGUCCAGACUCCUACGGGAGGCAGCAGUGGGGAAUAUUGGACAAUGGGCGCAAGCCUGAUCCAGCCAUACCGCGUGGGUGAAGAAGGCCUUCGGGUUGUAAAGCCCUUUUGUUGGGAAAGAAAAGCAGCAGGUUAAUACCCCGCUGUUCUGACGGUACCCAAAGAAUAAGCACCGGCUAACUUCGUG